Molecule: small nuclear RNA, 189 nt
Filed under: Oncorhynchus tshawytscha (Chinook salmon)
Lineage: Eukaryota; Metazoa; Chordata; Actinopteri; Salmoniformes; Salmonidae
Description: U2 spliceosomal RNA
Rfam family: U2 spliceosomal RNA
About the family: U2 is a small nuclear RNA (snRNA) component of the spliceosome (involved in pre-mRNA splicing). Complementary binding between U2 snRNA (in an area lying towards the 5' end but 3' to hairpin I) and the branchpoint sequence (BPS) of the intron results the bulging out of an unpaired adenosine, on the BPS, which initiates a nucleophilic attack at the intronic 5' splice site, thus starting the first of two transesterification reactions that mediate splicing.
Source: Rfam by way of RNAcentral
AUCGCUUCUCGCCUUUUGGCUAAGAUCAAGUGUAGUAUCUGUUCUUAUCAGUUUAAUAUCUGAUACGUCCCCUAUCGGGGACCAUAUAUUAAAAUUGAUUUUUGGAAUAGGGAGAUGGAAUAGGGGCUUGCUCCGUCCACUCCACGCAUCGACCUGGAUUGCAGUACCCCCAGGAACGGUGCACCCCCU